AGGCUUAACACAUGCAAGUCGAGGGGCAGCAUGGUCUUAGCUUGCUAAGGCUGAUGGCGACCGGCGCACGGGUGAGUAACACGUAUCCAACCUGCCGUCUACUCUUGGCCAGCCUUCUGAAAGGAAGAUUAAUCCAGGAUGGGAUCAUGAGUUCACAUGUCCGCAUGAUUAAAGGUAUUUUCCGGUAGACGAUGGGGAUGCGUUCCAUUAGAUAGUAGGCGGGGUAACGGCCCACCUAGUCAACGAUGGAUAGGGGUUCUGAGAGGAAGGUCCCCCACAUUGGAACUGAGACACGGUCCAAACUCCUACGGGAGGCAGCAGUGAGGAAUAUUGGUCAAUGGGCGAUGGCCUGAACCAGCCAAGUAGCGUGAAGGAUGACUGCCCUAUGGGUUGUAAACUUCUUUUAUAAAGGAAUAAAGUCGGGUAUGCAUACCCGUUUGCAUGUACUUUAUGAAUAAGGAUCGGCUAACUCCGUGCCAGCAGCCGCGGUAAUACGGAGGAUCCGAGCGUUAUCCGGAUUUAUUGGGUUUAAAGGGAGCGUAGAUGGAUGUUUAAGUCAGUUGUGAAAGUUUGCGGCUCAACCGUAAAAUUGCAGUUGAUACUGGAUGUCUUGAGUGCAGUUGAGGCAGGCGGAAUUCGUGGUGUAGCGGUGAAAUGCUUAGAUAUCACGAAGAACUCCGAUUGCGAAGGCAGCCUGCUAAGCUGCAACUGAC
RNAcentral lists this ribosomal RNA (713 nucleotides) under uncultured Bacteroidales bacterium. Its description in RNAcentral is "bacterial SSU rRNA". It matches the Rfam family "Bacterial small subunit ribosomal RNA", at positions 44 to 744 of the family's 1533-position model. Lineage: Bacteria; Pseudomonadati; Bacteroidota; Bacteroidia; Bacteroidales. The record is from RNAcentral.